Molecule: long non-coding RNA, 539 nt
Organism: Hypomesus transpacificus
Lineage: Eukaryota; Metazoa; Chordata; Actinopteri; Osmeriformes; Osmeridae
Exons: 3
Source: RefSeq, a predicted model, not a curated record
AAUUCCAAAUUCAGCCAAGUGACAUCCCAGCCUGACCUGGAAGAAGAUGCAUGGAUUGAAAUAAAAUGUCCAACAAAGAAAGAUCCGGAGAAGACAGUGGCUGCUAAAGUCCUACUAUUUGGAGAUUCAUACAAAGAACUCAUCGCAAAGAAGAAUUUAUUCAUUCUGGGCAAUGAUAUAUGGGGCAAGGAGGAAAGCAGGGGUGUGCGCAUGCAAAAAAGAAAUGCGGGAGACCGACAAUGAGGUGGCUAAAAAGCCUGUGCUGGCAAAGCAAACCAAGAUUAAAGAGGCAGCCAGGGACCAGGUAUUACAAAACCUAAAGACUGCCCUGUCUCAGAAGAGGGCCCUAGCCAUACAAGAUCACCACACCAGUUCUGAGGAUGAAUCUCCACAACGUUUUCAUAGUGUAAGGCAUGCUUUUUUUCCUAAGCAGCUGGCUACAUUGCUACACAACACCAAAAACCUGUGGUGUUUCCAAAACUACAAAGUGCUUAAUUAACAUGUCUUGAUUUGAAAGUAAUAGGACAAUCUACAUUUUA